AAGCACCGGGUCCUGAUGGUCUA
RNAcentral lists this non-coding RNA (23 nucleotides) under Arabidopsis thaliana (thale cress). The record is from RNAcentral. Lineage: Eukaryota; Viridiplantae; Streptophyta; Magnoliopsida; Brassicales; Brassicaceae.